This 73-nucleotide transfer RNA is filed under the name Caldanaerobius fijiensis DSM 17918. It matches the Rfam family "tRNA". From Rfam's summary of the family: Transfer RNA (tRNA) molecules are approximately 80 nucleotides in length. Their secondary structure includes four short double-helical elements and three loops (D, anti-codon, and T loops). Lineage: Bacteria; Bacillati; Bacillota; Clostridia; Thermoanaerobacterales; Thermoanaerobacteraceae. The record is from Rfam by way of RNAcentral.
GGCCCUAUCGUCUAGCGGCCUAGGACGCCGCCCUCUCACGGCGGAAACUGGGGUUCGAUUCCCCAUAGGGCUA